RNAcentral lists this long non-coding RNA (1003 nucleotides) under Struthio camelus australis. Its description in RNAcentral is "lncRNA (ENSSCUG00000011938.1)". Lineage: Eukaryota; Metazoa; Chordata; Aves; Struthioniformes; Struthionidae. The record is from RNAcentral.
GCCGUGUUUGCUGAGCUGAUUUGACCGGUUGAUACAGAUAGCAGCGGCGAGCCUCCCUGCUUAUGUGGAAAAAGACUAUUUUAAGUGUCAUAAUUAAGUUUAGAAGCCUUGUUUGGGCUCAUUCACUGCUCGAAAUAAAAAGGAAUGGCUGCUUUUAGACCCUUUUUGAAGGGGUUGGCUAAGCGCCUCUGCACGUUCGCUUGGAAAAGAAUGUUUUCUUUUCUAGUUUAAUAUUAGAAACUAUAUUUUUACUUGUUUAAACCGGAUUUGAUUGUUCCUGUGGAGAUUUUUUCCCCCCUCCUAUCACUCAAAUCUUUGUUCAUUGUUCAUUGACUGUGGAAGGCUGCUUAAAUGUACGGAGAGAGGGGGGAGGCCCCCUUGCUGGUUUGAUGUUGAAAUAGUAAACCUGAAUGAGGAGGGUGGCUGGAAAAGUGGACAUUGCAGCUUUAAUUAACUUCAAGAUGCUUCAGCGAGGACCAGAGCGUAGUAGUGACGUUGCCUCAUAAAUCUGUCCAGUACAGUGCGUUGCAUUGAACUAUUACAGUAUCACCAUCAUAUUGAAUAUUCACUACCUAUCCGGGAGCAGAUUUGCAUAAUUGGAUCUUUUUUAAAUGAAACCUGUCUGCAAAAAACAAACAAAAGCAAAAAAACAAAAGCCCAAGUGAAAACCGCGGCGAUCUGCAUGAUUAUAAGGGUUCAAACAUAUCCGAAAAGUUUUAUUUUUACAAUUCCGGCCUUCAGUACCUAUCCCACAUCUUUUAAGAAUCUCCUCAGCCAGGGAACAGACUCAUUGAUUUAAGUGUAACUGAUACUGCCACAAACAACAGGAGGCAAGUUUCAUGCUACUCUGCUGAGCAGGACCAGUGUUUUUUUACAGUGGCUUUGCUGAGGUGCUCUCUAUUUGGCAUUUCCGUACUUCUUUGCCAGCAGAAGUAGGCAGAAUAGCGCCCAACUGUGAGUUGGAAAUUGUGAUUGUGCAGUUCUAUACUGUGUUUUUAAAUCC